This 365-nucleotide unclassified non-coding RNA is filed under the name uncultured fungus. RNAcentral describes it as "partial contains small subunit ribosomal RNA, internal transcribed spacer 1, and 5.8S ribosomal RNA". The stretch from base 1 to 73 matches the Rfam family "Eukaryotic small subunit ribosomal RNA", at positions 1759 to 1831 of the family's 1831-position model. Lineage: Eukaryota; Fungi. The record is from RNAcentral.
GCAAACUUGGUCAUUUAGAGGAAGUAAAAGUCGUAACAAGGUUUCCGUAGGUGAACCUGCGGAAGGAUCAUUACCGAGUGGCACGAAUUCCGGUCGUUUGAGACUGGGAGGCUACCCGACCUUUUGUCAUAUUCUGUCGCCCGGGGAAGCUUCGAAUUUGGGUUCGAGGAUGCCGGACGAGCCAAAACUUCGGCGGAAGAGGUAGGCAUGGACCUGCCCGCCGCCGGCCGCAGAACAGCACAGAUUCUUGAAAAGCAAACUGAAGUCUAAGCGCAGCGUAUUGAAGAGUACGCGAAGAUGAAAACGAAAAAAGCAAAACUUUCAACAACGGAUCUCUUGGCUCUCGCAUCGAUGAAGAACGCAGC